Molecule: ribosomal RNA, 253 nt
Filed under: uncultured bacterium
Lineage: Bacteria
Description: partial 16S ribosomal RNA
Rfam family: Bacterial small subunit ribosomal RNA
Source: RNAcentral
GACAGAGGGUGCAAACGUUGUUCGGAAUUACUGGGCGUAAAGCGCGUGUAGGCGGCUCGGAAAGUCGGAUGUGAAAGCCCUGGGCUUAACCUAGGAAGUGCAUUCGAAACUCCCGAGCUUGAGUUCUGGAGAGGAAGGCGGAAUUCUCGGUGUAGAGGUGAAAUUCGUAGAUAUCGAGGGGAACACCGGUGGCGAAGGCGGCCUUCUGGACAGUGACUGACGCUGAGACGCGAAAGCGUGGGGAGCAAACAGG